AUUGAACGCUGGCGGCAGGCCUAACACAUGCAAGUCGAGCGAGCGGCGGACGGGUGAGGAAUGUCUGGGAAACUGCCUGAUGGAGGGGGAUAACUACUGGAAACGGUAGCUAAUACAGCAUACCAUCGGAUGUACCCAGAUGGGAGUAGCUAGUAUGUGAGGUAACGACUCACCUAGGCGACGAUCCCUAGCUGGUCUGAGAGAAUGACCAGCCACACUGAGACUGAGACCCUGACCAUACUCCUCCGGAAGGCAGCAGUGGGGAAUAUUGCACAAUGGGCGCAAGCCUGAUGCAGCCAUGCCGCGUGUGUGAAGAAGGCCUUCGGGUUGUAAAGCACUUUCAGCCGGGAGGCGUUACCGGCAGAAGAAGCACCGGCUAACUCCGUGCCAGCAGCCGCGGUAAUAC
RNAcentral lists this ribosomal RNA (406 nucleotides) under uncultured bacterium. RNAcentral's name for it is "partial 16S ribosomal RNA". It matches the Rfam family "Bacterial small subunit ribosomal RNA", at positions 30 to 526 of the family's 1533-position model. The record is from RNAcentral.